RNAcentral lists this ribosomal RNA (468 nucleotides) under uncultured bacterium. Its description in RNAcentral is "partial 16S ribosomal RNA". It matches the Rfam family "Bacterial small subunit ribosomal RNA", at positions 28 to 507 of the family's 1533-position model. The record is from RNAcentral.
GACGAACGCUGGCGGCGUGCUUAACACAUGCAAGUCGAACGGAAAGGCCCUGCUUUUGUGGGGUGCUCGAGUGGCGAACGGGUGAGUAACAUGUGAGUAACCUGCCCUUGACUUUGGGAUAACUUCAGGAAACUGGGGCUAAUACCGGAUAGGAGCUCCUGCUGCAUGGUGGGAGUUGGAAAGUUUCGGCGGUUGGGGAUGGACUCGCGGCUUAUCAGCUUGUUGGUGGGGUAGUGGCUUACCAAGGCUUUGACGGGUAGCCGGCCUGAGAGGGUGACCGGCCACAUUGGGACUGAGAUACGGCCCAGACUCCUACGGGAGGCAGCAGUGGGGAAUAUUGCACAAUGGGCGGAAGCCUGAUGCAGCAACGCCGCGUGCGGGAUGACGGCCUUCGGGUUGUAAACCGCUUUCGCCUGUGACGAAGCGUGAGUGACGGUAAUGGGUAAAGAAGCACCGGCUAACUACGUG